CCUACGGGGGGCAGCAGUGAGGAAUAUUGGUCAAUGGGCGUAAGCCUGAACCAGCCAAGUCGCGUGAGGGAUGAAGGUUCUAUGGAUCGUAAACCUCUUUUAUAAGGGAAUAAAGUGUGGGACGUGUCCCGUUUUGUAUGUACCUUAUGAAUAAGGAUCGGCUAACUCCGUGCCAGCAGCCGCGGUAAUACGGAGGAUCCGAGCGUUAUCCGGAUUUAUUGGGUUUAAAGGGUGCGUAGGCGGCCUUUUAAGUCAGCGGUGAAAGUCUGUGGCUCAACCAUAGAAUUGCCGUUGAAACUGGGGGGCUUGAGUAUGUUUGAGGCAGGCGGAAUGCGUGGUGUAGCGGUGAAAUGCAUAGAUAUCACGCAGAACCCCGAUUGCGAAGGCAGCUUACCAGACUGUAACUGACGCUGAUGCACGAGAG
Molecule: ribosomal RNA, 424 nt
Filed under: uncultured Ruminococcus sp.
Lineage: Bacteria; Bacillati; Bacillota; Clostridia; Eubacteriales; Oscillospiraceae
Description: bacterial SSU rRNA
Rfam family: Bacterial small subunit ribosomal RNA
Source: RNAcentral